Molecule: ribosomal RNA, 274 nt
Filed under: uncultured bacterium
Lineage: Bacteria
Description: partial 16S ribosomal RNA
Rfam family: Bacterial small subunit ribosomal RNA
Source: RNAcentral
AUACAGAGGGUGCGAGCGUUAAUCGGAUUUACUGGGCGUAAAGCGUGCGUAGGUGGUUGGAUAAGUCAGAUGUGAAAGCCCCGGGCUUAACCUGGGAACUGCAUUUGAUACUGUCUAGCUAGAGUUUGGUAGAGGGAAGUGGAAUUCCAGGUGUAGCGGUGAAAUGCGUAGAUAUCUGGAGGAACACCAGUGGCGAAAGCGGCUUCCUGGACCGAAACUGACACUGAGGCACGAAAGCGUGGGGAGCAAACAGGAUUAGAUACCCCGGUAGUCC